Molecule: transfer RNA, 84 nt
Filed under: Echinostoma caproni
Lineage: Eukaryota; Metazoa; Platyhelminthes; Trematoda; Plagiorchiida; Echinostomatidae
Rfam family: tRNA
About the family: Transfer RNA (tRNA) molecules are approximately 80 nucleotides in length.
Source: Rfam by way of RNAcentral
GGCUUUGUAGCUCAGCUGAUAGAUCGUGCGCUGUACGAUAGCGUAGAUGGCGUUCAUGCGUGGGUUCAAAUCCCACCGAGGCUG